This 473-nucleotide ribosomal RNA is filed under the name uncultured bacterium. Its description in RNAcentral is "bacterial SSU rRNA". It matches the Rfam family "Bacterial small subunit ribosomal RNA", at positions 355 to 825 of the family's 1533-position model. The record is from RNAcentral.
UGGGGAAUAUUGGACAAUGGGGGAAACCCUGAUCCAGCGACGCCGCGUGGGUGAUGAAGGCUUUCGGGUCGUAAAGCCCUGUCAGGAGGAAAGAAUGCUCCUAUGAUAAAUACUCAUAGGAAGUGACGGUACCUCCAAAGGAAGCACCGGCCAACUCCGUGCCAGCAGCCGCGGUAAGACGGAGGGUGCAAGCGUUGCUCGGAAUUACUGGGCGUAAAGGGUGCGUAGGCGGCCUUUCAAGUCCGGCGUGAAAGCCCAGGGCUCAGCCUUGGAAGUGCGCUAGAAACUGAAUGGCUAGAGUAUCGGAUGGGAGAGUGGAAUUCCUGGUGUAGCGGUGAAAUGCGUAGAUAUCAGGAGGAAUACCGGUGGCGAAAGCGGCUCACUGGACCGUUACUGACGCUGAGGUGCGAAAGCUAGGGGAGCAAACGGGAUUAGAUACCCCCGUAGUCCCUGAGCGGGCUGGCAAGGCGCAU